GAUUGGUGCCGGAGCACCAGUAUACCUAACAGCGAUUAUAGAGUUUCGGCCGUCGGAGUGCUCGAGUUGGCUUGCAAAGCUGCUCACGACAAUCAGAAAACCCGCAUCAAGAACAGAGCAGCUUCGGUUCGGCGCUCAUCAAGGCAACAAUUAGUUUCAGUGAGUCGCAAAGUGUUUCUCCGGCACGACGCAUUAAAUGUAAUUUACUGAACAACAUAUCACAAGCUGGAUGGGAAGAAAUUUUCCAACUGUGAAAGCUGUGGCGAGUGGCAAACGCAAUAGCUAAACAGGAAGGUUUAACCGAACAAGAUGGGAAUAUCGAGUGAUAACAAAAACACAAUACCAAAGGUUCUUUUCAGAACCAUCAACAUAUUCAUAAAGAGUAAACAGUAAACUAAUCCAUUUUUCAGGUAGAUAGUAGGAGAAGAAAAUAAAACAAUAUAUUUAAAAUAUAUAUUUAACAAAAGCUGUCCCCUUUGUAUAGUCCUACGUCACUCCGGUUAUGUCCCCGACAUUACCCACCCGUCUUUUUUAUAAUCACUAGAACUGAUUUCACUUGAUCCAUAUAAUGUUGAUCAUGUCGUAUUAUCUUUUUUUUUUUUUUAUUCUUUAUUUGAGAGGUUUUCAGCCUCCUGGGCUGGUUCGCCUGUGUCGUAUUAUCAGUCUGGAGAAUAGAGCAGUCUUCUAUAACGACACAGUUUUCUUCCCGUUUUAUAUUCCAAACGUUUUUAAAAUAUUUCGAAUGGAAUGUUUUCGUGAUUAACUAUAUUAUAUUAGUCAAAUCAUUUCAUUCGAUACCCAUACUCGGGUUAAAUUUAUCUUAAAUAACUGUGAUUUUCAAAAAUUUUCAGAAGAAAUGUCUGCCAUUUCGUAACGGUCGCCAUUUUGGAUUUACAUUUUUCAUGAAUAACUGUGUUCUACUAGUCAAGUUCUUUCAUUUGAUACCCAUAUUCAUGAGGUUUUGGCAAAAUAUGUAGUCUGUCAUUUUAUAACGGCCGCCAUCUUGGAUUUCCAUUUUACAUGAAUAACUGUGUCCUACUAGUCAUGUUCUUUCAUUGGAUACCCAUACUUGUGGGGUUUCGACCGGCUCAAAUGAGCGGCUCGUGAGCGCUCACCCAUCUCUAGGCCAGACCGAUCAAGGCUACGAUAGAUAGAUUUCCUUAUUGAAUCGAUUAUGGACUAAUGGUUGGAACAUUUUGAAAUAAUCGAUUCAAUCGAGUAACUUUCGUGUAACUUCUGAAAAAGACCUAAUUGCGUUGAUCGAUUAUCUCCAUCAACAUUAUUUUUCGUUGAUAACUCAGCGGUAAAAACACUUCCUGAUGUGUUCGACGACCAGGAGUGUAGAAGAGUACCUCGUUUAUCAAUCCAUGUGAUAAAACUGGCGCAAAAUCUGCCUGCCUGCCUGCAAGAGAAUGUCAAUGAAGAGAAUAAAUUAAAGCAAGUAGGUCCUUUCCAAAUGUUACAUAAAUUCGAAAGUUACAUUUAAUAUACCUUUAAAUGUAAACAUCGAAUUGCAAAAUAAUAGUUUUUGAAUGAAUUGGUACUUCAGCAUGUUGAUAAACUUACCAUUUCAUGAUUUUUGCUGAUGUUUGAAAAAAGCACAUUAUGAAAACAUCUUAUAGCAGCAAACAGGAAACAGUCCAUGUAAAAUUUCGUUAGUGGAAUAUUGAAGUUUUUAAUCGGAAAAUUCUAUGAAAUUGCCGUUGUUCAGUGUAUUCUGUGGGACGGUAGGUGGUUGUGUUGCUCUUAAACCGACACUUUCAGCCAGGGUGAAACCGAUACCUGGUUCGUGUUUCACUGACAGAAAAAGGCGUCAGUGUUUUUUUUUGUAUAUGCCUCGUGUUUAUAUUUGGAAGACAAAACGGCACGGCUGAACUAAUACUCAGCUAAAAACAGCCAAAUCCAAAGUUGAGCAGGGUAUGUCAACAAAAAUGACUACCAGAGCUCAUGGUAUUCUUCGAUCAAAGCUCAUCGGCCACAUCUCCAGUGCAUUCACCCAAACUACGAUCAAGAGUUCCGUAUCCAAACUGGGAUCAUUCAGUGCCUCUUAUCCGAACGGUAUUGCCCAUAUAAUGCUUCCCUACGCACUUAACGAUCCAGUACUUCUCACACUAGGAUUAUACCCCUGCUUGAUCAAAUAUCUACUGGAAUUGAUACAAGCCUUUCAUAUUUUUUGGUAGUCCUAGGCAUUAUAUCAUACGUAAAAGGACGGUCAUCAAAUUUACAUAAUCUAUUACAACGCAUGAAUUUAUCUAACAUGGCAGCUGUUCAGGGAAUAAGUGAUAGUCGCUAGGGGCGAGGUCUGGGGAGUAAGGAGGAUGCUCGAACACAGUCCAUUUGAUUUUUUUCAACUGCUUUUCAGUUACGCGAGCAGAAUGGGGCCGCGCAUUAUCGUGGAUGAGGAACACUCCUUUCGUCGAUAAACCUGGCUUUUUGUUCUUAAUCGGUCCAAAACUUCACAAUAGUACAGUGAUGAAACAGACGUUCGGCGGUGAACGAUUCGAUAACACUGAAGAAAUUUAUGACGCAGUUGCAUCGUACCUCAAAAAGAUGGACACUACGCACUUCGCGCUCGGAAUAGAAAAACUCGUGCCACGCUAUGAAAAAUGCCUCGAACGUUACGGCGAUUAUGUAGAAAAAUAGGAAAUAAAACGUAGAUUACGAAAAUCACCUUGUUUUUUGUCCUAACCUAAUUUUCCGCGAUUUCUGAGGCACUGAAACUCAGUGUUUGCCAAAUGAUCCACUCAUUGAAAAAAUCGCUUUCGUUCGUUCAAAUAUGAUCUUUCAGGAAACAUUUCCCCCAGCGGUAUUCUAUUAUUGUUAUGUGCUGCAAAUCACGACACAAAAGAGAACGAGACAACUCUGCAUCGGCUCGCACUUCAUUGCACACCAGCAUGCAAGCAAAGCUAUCAUAUACGCUUUCGGUGCAGAAAGCUUAUUUUCUUCUUUGCCUCUAACAUAUGCAUACCGACCUCUCCAUGCAUCAUGAAACAGCAGGAUCAUACGGACAACGCAAAGCGAAAGAUUCAUAUUCAGCUAAUGUAGCAGAUCCUGAUUUUUAAGUCUCAGAGAGUGCAAACUAUAUGAUUAUUUAGCUCGAUAGAGGCUAAGGGAAGGGUAGUCAGAUUAUAUUUUCCAUUUUUAACGCCGCUAUCCCUUGAAAUGUUAUAUUCAUAUAGACCGCAUAGUUUUACUAGCAACACCGCUCCAGUGAGAAGCAAAAACUCUCGCGUUUUAUCUCUUUUCCCAUUCGCUGCUCUCCGCAAAUGGUGACGUAAUGAUGACGUAAUUUUUCUUGUAUCAUUUAUUGCUUUACACUUGUCUGUGCAGUGGGUUUCGCUAUAGUAAAAUGAGACGAUAUAUGCGGUUCAAACUUGUAUGCAGGCUUCGAAAAUAGUGUGCCAUGUUUGAUACAACUCGAAUAUGCAAACAACAGUCUUCGUUCCUCUCUUAGUUUAAUCACUAAAUGUUACAAAAGUGAUUGCUGACAUUCAUACAAGUAUCUGAAUGAUCCUCUCAUAUUUGGUUAUAUGUUCGUGAGUUUACUUGCAUGACACAUUGUGUAUCAUUUGAUUUUGAUCGAAAUUCAAACACUGCUUAUUUUUUGAACGACCCCCGUAUGUUAAAUUCAAUUGAUUUCGAAAAUUGUUUCAUGCAAUCAAUAAUUGAAUCAAUACAAACAAAUGUUUACUAAGACAAUGGUAGUCAUUGCGGUUAUAUCAUAGAUAUAACCCACCCAUUUUUUAGAGUUUCAAAAUUCUGUCCUUCUGUGACUUUCCCAGAUUUCUCCAUACUCCAAUUUUGUGCACCGAGCUGAGUUUGAAGAAACACAAUACUCAGACUAAAAUGCAUACUUCGCUGGAAAAAUGAAAUGACCACACGCCUGCAAAUCUGAAACUCAGCUUCCUAAUCCGUGAGGUCAAACAUAAACAAAACACAUUAAUAUGAUAUGUUAUGAUCUUGAUUCUCCAAAAUAAGAACAACGGAUUUCUUCAUCAACAUCGAGUAUUAGUUGUCAUUAUGCUGUCAUCCGUUUUACACGUUCAAUAUCUCUAUCAGUUCAAUGACAUAUAUUUUUGUCAUUCAAAUUCUCACAAUUCAAUACUACCUUUAGUCGUGCUGAGCUAUGUUUUCCCUCUCUCUCUUUGCUUCAUUAACCCCUUCCCGUAUUAUUUAAUACGUCACACAUCAAGUGAUUUCACUACUCUGCUGAGCGUUCUAGCGCCAAUGUUAUUCAAGUAAACCACGAGUGAGACUCGAUGUUGUACGGGAAAGGGUUAAACCAGCCAGUUCAUGUAGAUGAGAACAUCAUGUAGUCGUAGUCAAUAGAACAAAAAUUUAGUUAUCCAGAUAUUGAUGACAAUUUUUAUCAAUAUAUUGAAAGUAUAAGGCGCCCAUUAUAUGUACACUGGAGACAAACAUUAGUAAAUGAAGCUACCAAAUCUUUAGUAGUUGAAACAUUGGUAAAAUGUACAAAUUUUUUGUACAUAUUACCAAAAUCCGGUAAAACUGAUGUCAGAUGUAAUGUACAUCCCUACCAGAGAUUCGUACAUUUUACUUCAUGCCAUUUGUAACCUUCAAUGUUUUCAUUCCUAGCGACUGUGAAGUGCGCACUUCGUAAUCGCCAUUUUGACGUAGGACUACGUCUUUCAUUUCUAUACCGGGGUGUAAAAUCAAAGUUUCGAAAACGAAAGCGUUACGCCGGAGACCGAGAUUUUGAGCGUUAAUAGCUCUUAAACAACUGAACGAAAUGGUAUGAUAAACACUUCAUUCGAAAGAUAAAAUGUCUACGCGUUAUAUACUUGUUACUUUUUCAUCCAAAAACUUGUUUCAAUAGCCGUAAAAUUGCUUUCAAAACAGGCUAUUGAAAUCACCAAACGGUAUAUAAGCGAGCGCCGCUCGUAAACCCACUCAGUUAUAAUUGAACAGCGAUUGGAGCAUGUUGUCGCUGUUGUGGUGAAGCUAAUUUUGUUUAUCAUGAAAGCGCUGAUGAAUGGUGUCACCAAGAGCCUGUUUGUGCACCAUAGACCAAAAGGGAAUCCAUCAAGAGGAGGGUGCCACACACACAUAUACACGCGCGGAACUCUCGUUGCUCAAAAAUAAUCUGCCAGUUCCCCUGGGAAUUGAAAAAUACAUUCAUGCGGAAGAGUUUAUUUUAAUGUUUUCUAACACUGCAACCAAAUACAUUUGGUUUUGUGAUUUUUCAAUCAAUCGCAAUUAACAGGAAAGCUUUUGAAUAUUAUUUUUCCCCAUCAGUAGAAAAUUUUUCGUAUCCAAUAUUGGAUGCAUAACAUGAAAAACGGAAAAUGUUUCACAUCGCGAAAAUCAAGUCAUUUUCGAGCGAUUAUUUGCUUUCUUAUCAUAUAAUCCUGCGACCAAAUACAUUUCGUUUUGGAUUUUUCAAUCAAGUGCGAUCAACGUAAGACCACGUCUUUCGGCAAUUCAUUAGAGGUGCAAUGAAUCUUUAUGAAUUCCCGCUCUACGCGCACUGGCAAACGAUGUUUACUCAACAAUUUCUCAAACGAGAAAUGGGUGUUGUGAGAAAGGAUUAACGAACGCAAAAACGACAAACGGGAGAAAGAGAUGUUUGGAGGUUGAAGGAAAUUGGCAGAAAACUUCUUCAUUUUAGCUUUCGAAUAAUGUGAUUCAUACCACUUCGUUUUGCCAGAAAGAGAUUAUUAGUACUCAAAGGAGGAAUCGAGUCUUCCGAGGAAAUUACCCAGCGCAAACUAGAGUCGACUAUCGAUUGCGGCAUUUGUACACAAAUAAUUUUAUAAUGCAGUUUCAUCAAAGUGAUUUCUUCGAUAUGGGGAUAUAUUCACUACAUCAUGUCAUGUAUUUCAUAUUCUUCACUAUCAAAUCCAUAUUCAUGGCACCUAUCGGUAUCGAAUUAUCAUCGACACCACGAUUUUCGCUAAAUGCUCCUUUCAGUUCGGCCUGUAAAAAACUUUUCUGAACUCUAAUCCAUCAAAUUUGGAGCUCUGAAAAGGGCCGUUUAUUAUAUGCUAAGCUAAUAUAGCACGCUCUCCUCGGAAACGAUGGGCCAGCUGGAUGUCCUUGGGCAUGAUGUGACGCGUUUUGCAUGGAUAGCACACAAAUUGGUAUCUUCGAAUAGGCGCCCUGCAGCGUCAUAGCCGCGGAACUUUGGUCCAAAGUCCUGAAGCAAUUCCACGAACCAAAUGCUGCAAAGGUAGCUUGCGGAUCAGCAAUUCGGUCGACUUCUGAUAGCGACGAAUUUCACGCAAAGUUCCCGGUCGACAGCGAUGUGGCUUCACCUAUCCUGCGGCUGGUGCGCUUAUCCGAGCUGCUUUCGUGUGCCUUACCACCGAAAGACUAACGAGCUGUCUGCUUGGUCCCAAACAAACGAGUCCUCACGGUGCGAGAGUAGAGUAAGAAAUGAACGAAAGCAAAGGAAGCGUCAUUUUAUAAACCAUAAAAGUAUAGAAUGUAAACCCCACCCUUAUUAUAUUCGUUGCUUACCCUGAGAGAGAAACGAAUAACAUCGAAGUAUACAGUAAGCUUAUAUAAUAGAGAGGAUGGGGAGAGAAUGGAUUUAGAUUCAACUUCAAACAAAUGAUCUCUAAAUCAACGAUAGUCCUACGUCACCCUUGCGGUUAUACCACAGAUAUAACCCACUUCCUGUUUUUUUGUGGAAGCGAAGCAAUUCGGAGAUAUUCCGAAAUAUACUCAUUUUGGACGACGUUUCUUCUAUUCUACUACUGAUAGAAGCAUUUCCAUUUGCGAUCAAUCGUAAACGAACAUUUUACAACAGCCAUGAUUCGAUGCUAAUAUUUGGCGAUACAAACUAGGGAAAGGAAGAACCAAUAACGAUUCACCAUCGGUCCGUGCAAACGGUAUCAAAUGAGCGUAUCUUUUCGUCGACCAACGGCAGCGACCAGCGAAUCAACAAGUGCAGCUGAUUCCAGCACGAAUAGCUGUUCUGUUUUUUCACUGGAGCAUCGAAAAUCCCUAUCAGGCUCAGGUACAGGCAAGAAUCAAUGAAGGAGGAGCAAGCUACGCUACCGCAAGUAUAGUCAUUUGCUCAUAAAAUUUACAAGAUGUAUCGAAACUCUCUAGGAAAAGUGUCGUCAUUCGUUUUUUCUAUAAACUGAUAACCUCUGCGUGAUAAUGAUGUGUCAGGAAGAUCCAAUCAACUGCUUUUCUCAACCGGAGGAUGACAUGGAACAUGAAGAACGUCAGAACCGACUACGUGCUCUGUGCAAUCAUCAGGAUCUGUUCCAGGAGGAGAGUGUUGAAUUUGAUACUGGAAAGCAUCGACAAAAUCAAUGUCAUAUCGUCACUAGGUUUCAUGAUUUCCUCCUGGCUAGUGAUGAAAAAGUUGGGAGUCGAUAUCCGGAUAUCUGAUCCAACUACUAGCGGUUGUCAUCAAGGAAAACUCAGUUUGCUAACUCAAAUCAUUUUAAUUGGCUCAUCCCCCAUCUUGGAACGCAAGCAUCUAGUAAGGACUCCGGAUCGAUUUGUAAAUAUCUCGCCUCUCGAGAACCAUAAUCGUGCUCCGAUGAUUUUGUAUGUGUUGUGUUCACUGUGCGUUGGUAAUGGUCAGUAUGGUUGGUUGGUCGGUAAUCCUAAUAUCCUCGUUCAUCGUGUUGAGGAAUCUGGGGUGUACCAGAAGUGUUACUUUGAAAUUACUAUGGACCAUAACGGGCAAACGUGCACAAACAUGACACCGCGUUUGCGAAUUAAUUGGGCCAAUACUGCUGAAUAUGUUGAGGAUGUAAAAAUGGGGCGAAAAUGACGUUGGUAAUAAUUUGCAUACUCAUGAUUCCGGACGUGACAAAACUAUUCAUCGCAAAAGGAAUGGAAUUGCACGCUAGAUCUCAGCGUGUCGGUGAUACGGUUUAUGUUCAAUGGAGAGCCAAUGCAUGUUUGAUUUUAAUCUAACUUGAAUGUUUUUUUUUCCGGUGAUGAGCUGCUCGUCGAAGCUAAGUUGUCAAUUUUAUUUUGGUUUCCGCGUUUCUGUCUGCGAUAUUGAACCCUAAGAUGGAAGAAUUCGGCGAUCUGCUGGUCGAGAGCACUCACAACUUGUGAGACAAAGAGCGAAUUCAACAAAGUUAAACAAAGACAACGAAAACCAUCGUAGCUCACAUUCAGUUCCGUACAGCAUAUACGGCUAUGGCGACUAUCAGAAAGCUGUUGAUCUAUGGAUACAAUUCGGACCAACAAACUGGUGAGACGAAUGAGCCCCUUGCGGCGGAAGCAUUCAGACAGAACUUCGCAACCACCAGAACGCACCUAGCGGAGAAGACGUAUGCUGUUAUGUCAAGACAGACAUACUUUUAGUUUGAGGUACGGACUGUGGGACUGAUGAGGGACUGCAAUUCCGAAACGAUGUUGGGGAAUGAUGAUCCAUCGUGUGCUUUUGAUGGCUACAAUAUAAGCAUGAGCACAAAUAUCGAAUCCGAUUGUUCAAUACGACCAAUCACGACCAUUCAAUCCAAUGUAGUCGUUCUGUUACAUGAAAACAAGCCCCAAAUUCCUACUGAAGACACAUUUCCACUGCCUCACCAAGAGCAAAUCACAUAGAUGGUUGCCGAAAAAUUUCAAAUGUAAGUUUAUAUGAACCCCCUUCUUCGAACUCUGGGGCAUUCCAGAGCGUCACAAUUAAAUGGGCAAGUAAAUUACACCUGCGCAGGGUCGAAGAUUUCGGUAGGCGAUACCUGGUCGGAGACGUAAUCGUUUUCUUCUUAAAUAUCCACGACAAGAUCAACUAUUGAUAUAUAGAAUAAGUUAUUAGUGAAAUAUUAUAUUAAAAUAACAUGUUAUCAAACACAGGAUUUUAAAUAAAACAAAAAGGA
Toxorhynchites rutilus septentrionalis is the source of this 8816-nucleotide long non-coding RNA. RefSeq lists it as uncharacterized. The transcript has 5 exons. The record is from RefSeq and is a predicted model, not a curated record. Lineage: Eukaryota; Metazoa; Arthropoda; Insecta; Diptera; Culicidae.